This 301-nucleotide ribosomal RNA is filed under the name uncultured bacterium. RNAcentral's name for it is "partial 16S ribosomal RNA". It matches the Rfam family "Bacterial small subunit ribosomal RNA", at positions 509 to 807 of the family's 1533-position model. The record is from RNAcentral.
CAGCCGCCACGGUAAUACAUAGGAUGCAAGCGUUAUCCAGAAUGAUUGGGCGUAAAGCAUCUUUAGGUGGCUUUUCAAGUCCGUCGUCAAAUCCCAGGGCUCAGCCCUGGACAGGCGGUGGAAACUACUAAGCUGGAGUACGAUAGGGGCAGAGGGAAUUUCCGGUGGAGCAGUGAGAUGCGUUGAGAUUGGAAAGAACACCAACGGCGAAAGCACUCUGUUGGGCCGACACUGACACUGUGAGACGAAAGCUAAGGGAGCAAAUGGGAUUAGAUACCCCUGUAGUCCCUGUCUCUUAUAC